UAACGCGUGAGGAACCUGCCUCAUACAGGGGGAUAACGAUUGGAAACGAUUGCUAAUACCGCAUAAGCGCACAGUACCACAUGGUGCAGUGUGAAAAACUCCGGUGGUAUGAGAUGGACCCGCGUCUGAUUAGCUAGUUGGUGAGGUAACGGCCCACCAAGGCAACGAUCAGUAGCCGACCUGAGAGGGUGACCGGCCACAUUGGGACUGAGACACGGCCCAG
This 223-nucleotide ribosomal RNA is filed under the name uncultured bacterium. RNAcentral describes it as "partial 16S ribosomal RNA". It matches the Rfam family "Bacterial small subunit ribosomal RNA", at positions 111 to 334 of the family's 1533-position model. The record is from RNAcentral.